CUACCACGUUCCCUUGCGGUUCCCAGAAUUCCCAGCAUCUACACAUCAUCUAUGAUGUGUAGAUGCUGGGAAUACUGGGAACCGCAAGGGAGCAUAGUAGCUA
RNAcentral lists this microRNA precursor (103 nucleotides) under Pelobates cultripes (western spadefoot toad). Lineage: Eukaryota; Metazoa; Chordata; Amphibia; Anura; Pelobatidae. The record is from RNAcentral.